UGCCAGUCGGAAUUCCCUAUCCUUCCUGGCCAAGCGGACAUGCUGGGCAGAGUUCAGGACACAGCUUUAAGUGUGGUUUCCUGAUUAACAGGGAGACUCCAGUUAUGCAGGAAGGAGUUGGAGCUUGCAUACUAUAUGUCAUAGUCAUCUCCCGGUCCUUAGGAACGAACACAUCAACAGAAAUGACCUAGGGCAAACUACCAUUCCUGAGAAAAUCCCCGACAGCUCAAAGAGAGACUCUGGUCGCUGUGCUUCAUCUUCUGUGCUUUCUUUUGAUAAGAAAGUGACACACUUAAGACUCAGUUACUCUAAAACACAUUUAAACCAAAUGAUAUUUGAGAAGGCCGAUGGUGAUCAAGAGAAAUGAGCACUGAAAGGAACCAGACACAUCUUUGUGACAUCCUGGCUAAGAAAAAGGGUGAUGAGAAGAGAGCCCCAAAGCAGGCGUCAGGAGUUGGGGUAAUUGACUUGGUUCUGAGGCAGUUUUGCCUCAGGAUCUUAGGAGAAAUCAUUCUCAAGUCUUCUACUUCCUCACCUGCAAAAUAAGAUGGCUGGUCCCUCUAAAUUUUAAAAUUCUCUGAUUCUGUGCAUUACUUAAAGAAAAGGGCAAGGUAUCCCUAUGUGUCAAGAAGAACAGUGAGAAAUAAUACUGAAAGAACGCCUUGAAGGAAGAGUGGAAAGCCCCUCAGGGGUCUCGAGGCCUUGAUCAGAUGCUGAGGAAGGACCAGCUGGGGGAAGGGCGCUCGGGGAACGCCCCCAGGGGCUCCUUCUCAGAGGGAACUUCCAGCCCGAGCCCACGGAGAAGUGGGCCUGUCUUGCUGAGAGCAAGAAAGAGAAGGUAAGGAAGAGAACAGGAGGGAAAGGUGCUUAGAAAAGGAAAAGGCUUAAGAUAAGGGGGAUCCUGUGAGUAUCAAAAUGAAUGCGUACAACUCUGUAAGACUGACCACCUCUGUGGGGGUGGGGCGGGGGGGUGAAGAAGAAAAAACUGAGAAGAGGGCAAGGGCAGAAGAGCAAAGAAAGAAGGGGAAAGGAGAAUCCAGACCUCCAAAAUACAUUUUAAACAGAAAUAGAAUUUCUUAAUUCUCCCACCAUCCAUUCACCAAAAAAGUCACCAGAUGUGAGGUCCCAUGGCACCCUGCCAAAUUAAACAGAGAAAAGCCGCACUUUUAAAGAGAACAAUAGAGUAGCAUUUUCUAUACCAUAGUGAACACAGAGACAGUCCAUCUGUAUGCAGAUAUGGAAGGGAAAAAAAAAAAAACUCCACAAAGGGUCCAUAACCUUUUCCAAAAAAAGAUUCUGGGCUAAGCAAUCCAGAAAUAGAACAUUUUGAUUACAAAAUAAAAACUAGGUCAAUAAGAUAAUGGACAUGAUUUAAAUGAAAAUCACAGUAUUUGUAAUGGACUAAAAAUGGUAUCAAUAUUACUGCAGAGAAGGAAUAUAAUUAAAUGUAUUUUUAAACGGCAGCUCCCCACCCCGGCCCUGCAAACCCAGCCCGGCCACCAGUCUUCCUCCACCUCAUCGGAGAGGAAUGUGCUGGCAGGCCCGGAGCUGGUCUGAAGAAUGCAGAGUUUCCGUACUGCUUUAGAAGAUCCCAAAUGACACUGGUUAGCUACAUUCUUUCACUUGUAGAUCACUGUUAUUCAAUUAUAAAGCAAAGAAAUGGAAAGGUCUGGGAGCUGACCAGUUCAUUCUUUUACCAUUUUUACUCUACAGCCAGGAAACGUGCAAAUGAGGAACGAGGGCCACCAUUCUCUUUGGUCCAUCGAAACCAGGGGAAUUCUGGGCCACCACUUGAGGUGGGUAUAGGCCCGAAGAGGUUUAGCACAGGCUACAAAUUAAGAUACAGGGCAGAAGUGCAAAUUCCUGGUUUUCUGUCUACAACUUGGAGUGUGACCUUGUAGAGAGACUCUGACUCUUGGGUGUAAUUUAUCUUCUAAAGCCUCACAAGGAAAAGGGAGGCAAAGAGGAACAAGAUGAAUUAGACCUAAGAAAUCAUGUUCCGGAUGGUGAAUACAAUUACCACAGUGAGCAGGCAAAGAGUACUGUGGCAUUUCCUUGGGUGCCUAUAUAAGAGCCAGGUCUAGGAGUCUGUUUAUAAGGAAAUAUCAACAGCCCUUCCAAACUUGGGAUGCCUUCAGGGGUCAAAGAAAGAUUAAGCAGAAUUACUCUAUGAUAAUAUCACUGGUCUAGAACACACACACACACACACUCGCACACACACACACAUACAGUGUUCCUUAUUAAAGGAGAUUACAUCCAUAUUUACAUGAUGGAAAUCUCAGAAUAAGAUAUCAGCAUGACUAUAUAUGCAUCUUAACCAUUCAGAAGAGAUUAUUUUCAAAGUUUUAUGGAGGGUAGGAAAUAUUUACUAGCAAGGGUUUUUUCAGAUAAUUGACUCUUUAAUACGUAUGCUUAAAUUCCAACAUACCAGCCAUUACUUGCAAGGCAUUCAUUCAUCCUUAGAAACCAUAAGCUUACCUCCCAUGAAGAAAAUUGGUUAAAUAAUCGAGUUUGUCAAACAAAGGACAGGUCAUGUUAUGGUGUGAUUCGUGUAAUGCUGAGCUCUCAAAGUGCAACUGUGUUUGUAAAAUGUCGUUAUGUUAGUACCCACUUCACCCCUUUUUACUAUAAUAAAAGCAAUUUCAGUAUGCAGCAAGUUGACAGACACCAUAACCAUGAGACCUUUCUGUAAGUGACUCGGGGAGCUCCAAACCCCUGGUACUCAGAGGCAACUGAAAUAAGUCACUGUAAUAGGUCUUGAGGAAUUCUAAGCCAAGAGAAAGGCCAAAAAGUUACGGAUCAUCUGAGCUCAUCCGAUCACUCUCGGGGUUGUUCUUAUUUAUAGUUCCUUCCUAUCACCAGGGCCUCUAAACCUUGAAAUGAAAAUAGAGAAGCAAAAGUGUGGCAAGGGUCAAUGCGACCAGGGUAAAACUUCUGCAAACAUCCAGAAAGCAGGGUGCUCGGUUUUCUGCUGGAAAGCAUUCACUCAAUAUUGUUUUCAACUCUGACCUUCCACGACCUCGGUUUGGAGAUCCUGAUGGGGGUAAAAGAAAAGAACCGAAGGGUGAAGCAAGUGAAAAACACCGAAAGAAUGCUCAGCACAAGCAUAUGACCGGGGCACGCCUCUGUGCUGUGAGUCUGGUGGGGGGGAAAUGGAUUAUUUAUAGGAGAAGAGAAGCAAGAUGACAAAAUAAGCUCUUGACAGAGAAGAUAAAAGCUUAUGUUGGAAAAAGCUUGGGGGAAGGAAAUGGCAUCAGAGUCAUUUGCACUGUCACAAAAUGAAGUUGGUCUAGCAGUGACUUUGGCAUAUUUUGGCUUCUCAGCAGGGAGAAACCAGUUGGGGGCUGGGGAAACUGGUGUUUUGGGAGAAAGAGAAACAGCUGCUUGAACACGAGUGUCAUCGGAAGGAAGUCCUCUUCCCUGCUGCCAGCCCACAAGACAUUACUAUAACACAGUCUCAGGAGCUACUAUAAUGAGACAGGGGGGGACAAGACGGAGUUGCUGCCAGUUAAUGCCCCAAGAUCUUUUGACAAUGGCACUGUGCCAACAAAUGCAAGAAGGGAAUAAGCACCAGCCAACAGCAUGGGGAUCCUCCUCUAUAAAAAGGACUCAUGGAAGGAAUUCUAAUUGUAUUUAUUUAAGUAACUAUUAAUUACUUCUACAGGCUCAGGAACAGGAUGGACUGCUGAAUCAAUAAAUGACGGAAAGGUUAUCUAUGAAUAAUACGUAAAUCCUCUGUUCCAAGUCUUGUCUCUGAUAAAAUUUGGGAGUCUGAUUGAUGUAUUGACUUUCAAUUCCCUUCUCUCUGUCUAUUUGUCAGCUGAGCUUCAGGCUACACACUCUAUCAAUAAGGCAUCUCAAGUUCAAUGUCCCUACGCCAACACAAAUCAGACGCUGCACAAAAGAGCUGUUUUCCCAUCACCAGGCUGGAUGUCUUGAAGUAGCUGCCAACCUCCACUGCACUCCAACCCACAAGCAGUGAGCUGCCAAAUCCCACCAUGCUCUCCUGCACGGAAGUCUCCGUUUGUCCUUUCCUCUUUUCCCUCUAUUCAGUCUUGUGUCUGUCCUGCCCGUCUCAUGUCUGAAAUCCUCGAUCUCCUCCAGUUGUCCCCUAGCUUCCUCAUAUUGCCAAGUAUCUUCCCAGAGGGCUCACUAGGGCUUCUUUCUACACUCAAGUUCAGGUCCACACAUUGUCAGCCACCAUUCCCACCUCCUGCUUCUUAAGCCUUCAACUGCCUUCCACUAUCCCUAUGUUGUCCAAUAUGACAGCCACUAACCACAUGUGGCUAUUUCAACGUCAAUUAAUUGAAACUUAAUAAAACUACAAAUUCCGUUCCCUGGCAGCAUGAGCCACACUUCAAGCACUCAAUGGCCUUGUGUGAUUGGGGGUGCCCUACUGACGAGCUCAGCUCUAGAACGGUCCCAUCAUCACAGAAAGUUCUACUGGGUGGUGCUGGAACCUGUCCUCUCCGGAAAAAUGUACUCAGCUCCCACAAGCAAAUCUUCUGUUAGAAUAAAUUCCAUUCCCAAAAAGGCCUUCCAUCCCAAUUUUUACCAAGAUCUCACAGUUCAAUAUCAGGGAGCUCCUGAGACAUUCUUCCCUGAGAUCCACUCUCAUUUUAAGGGAAAGGCAAGUUACAUACUGUUCACCCUAACCCAAAUAAACAUGUCUUCCUUUCAUAAAACUUAUUCUCUGUGCAGAGUAAAUAUUUACACAUUAAUAUUCAAUUUAUAUCUUUUUCAAUGCUUGCUCAGCUGUGAGGCCUUUACUAUCUUGCUCAAUAAGGUAAACUAUUUUAGACUGAAUGCUCUUGGGGGCAGGGCCAAUAUUUAAUGAUGCCAAGCAUAGAAAGCUCUUUAGUGAGUAUGUUUUAAUAAGGGUGAUAGCAUAGUGGGAAAGCAUUAGGCUUUGAAAUUACCCUGCAUCUGAGAUCCUGUUCUGUUACUUUCUAACCAGAGACCUUCAGCAAGUUAUUUAAUCCCUCAUCAUUCUCAGUUUAAGCAUGUGUAAAACAGAGAAAAUGAGAACUGUCUUCCUCAUAGGGUGGCUGUGAUAAUUAAGUGAGAUCAGACCUGUAAAUCUCUUAGCAGUAAUUGAUACAUAAUAGCCACUCAUUAAUGUCAGCCGAUGAUGACAUAUAUUAUUUUAAAUAGUUGUAAACAACAUAAAUUUAAAUAAUACUUGAUCGAGGAGGUUGCAGGCAGGAUGAAAAAGAAAUCCAGAAUGCAACUGCUGGCCUUACAGAGUCAAAUGAAUGUCUUUAGAUAUGAUGUGAUGGAUAUUACUGAAAUAUCAAACCGUGGAAAAUAUGUAUCAGAAUAACAUAAAUUUUAACAUUUCCAUUCUGCUUCUCCUAUAAAAGCUGCAUAGAGUUUCCAGUUCUCUGGAAAAUUCACUUCAGGGAUGGUGGAACCUUGUUUGGCAAGGUGAACAACUUUCCAUUAGUUGAAUGCAAGAAGGAUGAUUUCAUUUAAAAGUGAAAUGUGGGAAAUGGUUAAAUGAGUAGGACCUAACUGAUCAUACUAGUUGUUUUUGAAAAAUUGGAAAACCAAGAGUUCAAAGCACAUGUGGGCAUUAAUUUGCACUGAGUGCUUCAAGGUCCAUCACCCCAGUGAACAAAUAAGGCGGGGCACACACACCCCACACACUCAGAGCAUGAGCCCCUCUCCCAGCCUUCAGUAACUGGAAUUCAGAGGUAGCUCUGUGUACUCAGUAACCACAUUAUGCCAAACCAGUCAUCCAGUCUUCCCUUGCUGUGGCUUCUGAAGCUGCUAGGCCAGUGAUUUUUAAAGUGUGCCCCUUGGACCAAGCAAGAGAAACAGUGUCACCUGGGAACUUGCCAAUUCGUGGGUCCCACCCUGGACCUACUGCAUCAGAAACUCUAGGGUUGGGGCCCACCUGCGUGUGCCUAAGCUCUCCAGAUGUCCAUAGAGCCAGAGUCUGGGUAGUACACCUGGGCUGCACCUGGGCCCUCUAUUCCAGGCAGCUCCGGCAGAGAAGACAUUAGGCCUCCUCUUGGACAGGUAGUGUAGAAAAUAUCGUUCACUGGCUCUCACCUCUGUGGACACGUGAUAUGGAUUCUGCCUCCUUCACUAGGACUUGGUUCCCUGAUGUGAAAAGUGAUGAAUCAUUAACAAUUUGCUAAGCAGAGCCCAGGAAGAGGGGACCCCUGUGGCUCUAAGUCACCAACAAGCUGGGUCAUGUGGAGCAAGCUCACCCUGGAACCACACAUUCUGUCCAUCACGUAGCAUGGAGUCAAGAUCAGACAGCCCCAAAUCAUGCAGCUCCAUGGACUGGGCCUUUAACGGGAGUCACUGGUCCACAAUGAGAGGUGGAGCAGUGAUGCAAAGGACAGGGUCCUGCAGCUAAUUUAGGAAAGCCCCUAACACUUCUUGUUUAACUGCAUUUUGGAAAACAAAAGAAUUACAAAAUCAUAUAACAAAACCCCAGCAACUACAUGAAAAACAAACAAAAGAAGGAAAGAUACAGGAAACCCUCUCCAGAGGUUUUUCAAAGCAUAACACUUCUCAACAGUCAAAACUCAUUUACAAGGAAAUGGGGAAGUAUUCUGGAUCUCAAAACUUGAAUCACCAUGUGAAAGUAUUUUUGAGCAACAAUGCCUUAAAUGACUUUCAUUGUCAUUUUUAAAAGAUCUAAAACAAACAAACAAAAAAACCCAAAAGCUUCUUUUAGUGCUUUGAUGCUUGCAUAAUGUUGACAGUUAUAUUUUCACGAUUCAAAUACAUUCUCCAACAGAUCACCUUACUCAUUUUUCAGUGGCAGGGAAUAAAACUCACUAUGCAUGAAUUUAAAGUCCUGUACAUUUUUAAAAACAGGUUUUGUUUGAACAUUUUUAUAAGAUGUAUAUAGCCAUGUACUGUUUUUGUCAUUAAAAUCAUUUUUAAAAACUAGCAGUCUUUUAUAAGCUUACACACAAGAUGUUAUGUACAGCCAACUUCUGAAAAGAGAAAACUUAAAGGUAGUUAUGUCUGGGCAGUGCGACUAGGGGACAGACAGAGAAAUAAGACUUUUACUUUUUCACUUUAAAUCCUUGAGUCCUACUCAGAUUUACUUUUGUACAUAUUUUGUAUAAUUCUUUUAACUGUACUAGUUAGAAAUAAAAUAAGUUAACUUAAAAAUAAUAAGUGCAUAUUAUUGGACCAUUAACCUUUGGCAUCCAUUUCACUGAAUGACACUGAGUAAGUUAGUCAGCAGUUUCGGCCAACUUUCCCUACAGUCUGAGCGUGCCGUCACCAGAUGACACCGCAGACCAAGACACUGAGCCCAGGGAGGUGAAAGACGCUGCCCAUGUCAUCAGACUUGCUGACACUGGAGGCAAAGCUCACCGUCAGUUCUUGAGCUCCCUGGUUUAUGCAUUU
Long non-coding RNA from Phyllostomus discolor (pale spear-nosed bat), 7380 nucleotides. RefSeq lists it as uncharacterized. NCBI's taxonomy places the organism in Eukaryota, Metazoa, Chordata, Mammalia, Chiroptera, Phyllostomidae. The record is from RefSeq and is a predicted model, not a curated record. The transcript has 2 exons.